CAGGAUCCCAUCCCGUCGUGCUGCCCUUCCCCCGCGAUCCCACCGUGCUGCCCGCCGGCGUCCUCAUCGACGCCGCCGCCACCGAUCUUUCCCCGCAAUCCCGCCCUCUCUCACGCGAUUCCGCCCCUAGGCCCAUCGCACGCCAUCCCCGCACGUGACGCUCGCUCCCCGGCGAUCCCGGCGUCCUCGUCGAUGCGGUAUGCCCAGGUACAUCUUAAGAAGAAAGAAAAAUCAGCCGCAGUAUAAAACGCUGCCCGACCUGACUAGUGACAACCUGCCCCAGCCCUGUCCUGAGCGUGGGCGAGGCUUCAACGCAAUACGAGAGGCGAGGAGGCACAGGAAAGCAACCAACUCCUCUUUCGCGGUUUCGCCUCACCGGCCGCGCCGCCCACCGUCGCCUCGACUCGUUCGGGUGGAGUCCUCCCUCCUCUCCGACGAAUCCCUAACCAAGGCUUUUUAGCUGAAGAAACAAUCCUGCAACAGAAUGGAGAGCUCCUCAGCUAGGAACAAUGGUUCUGUGGAGAAUAACUUGGGUUAUACAAGAAGUGCAUCCAUGGAUUCAGCGGGUCCUCCUUUAGCUGCUAGGUCCGGCUCAAUGUUAAGUAGGAGAAGUAGCAGACAGGCCUCAAGGGGAUCCAUCAGCCUCUCCCGGGAGAUGGGGGACUCCAUAUUGAACUCAAUGAGGCAUUCUCUUCAGUCAGCAGAUCAAUUGCUUGGGGAUGUCGAUAGCUCUAUUCUGGCUCAGCUCAUCGAAAGUGGCAGAGUUUCAGCACCUGAAGGUGAUGUUGAUGAGGAUACAGCUAAUACCUCGGAGCAUCAUAAGGUUGGACCUCUUCCAGAUGAUGUGGAGGUGCAAAACAAUGGCAAAAGUGUGGCAGCACCUAUAUCUUUAGUAGAAACAAAAGUUGCUACUUCUAACAUUCCGGCAGAUUCAUGUACCAAGGUUGAACCGUAUAAGCUUUCUCUGAGGCUCGACUAUGCUGCUUACAUGAUCCAUUUAGCUGUCUUUGGAUUUUUGGGGGUAUUCACAAGGUAUGGACUCCAAAAGCUGUUUGGCCCAGACUGCUUGGCACUCACCUCAGACCAAAGCCCGCUAUAUCCUGAUCUUCCAUCUAAUAUGGUAUGUGCUAUCCUUGUAGUGCUCAAGUCGCAACACUAUAUCGAGUCAAGGAAUUCUUGUAGAGAAAGAGAAAGCACAGGAGAUUUGAUCUGUAUAUACUAACUCUUGUUGAUUGCUAAAUUGGACGGGCCAGCUUGGAUCUUUCCUGAUGGGCUGGUUUGGGAUCAUCUUCAAGGCUGAUAUAAGGAAUAUAUCUGAUCAUCUUAUCAUUGGAAUCACUACUGGCUACAUGGGAAGCCUUACCACUUUCAGUGGGUGGAACCAAAAAAUGGUUGGCUUGUCUUCCAAAGGCCACUGGGUAUAUGCUAUAGCAGGCAUAGUACUAGGAAUGUUCAUUGUCAAUGAGUCCAUCACGGUUGGUGUGGAGACGGGCGAGCGCCUACGAAGUUUGAUCCUGAAAUACAUCAAGGGGAGGUGUUCAAUAAGUCACACAUAUGACUGGGAGCACUGGAGGGUAGAUACCAGGACUAAGCAGUCUGUGCUUCUGUCAGUGAUGAUGAUUGUGAUGUCCUUCUUAUGGGUUUUGAGCAUUGUAUUGGCUGUAGUAAAGCUGCGUAGUCUUGCUGAUGGUGCUGUACUCUGGAUGGGCUGCUCGGUAGCGCCUCCAGGUGUUUGGCUACGCUGGUACCUGGCAAGGCUGAAUGGUCAGGGAAUUGGCAAGCACCAAUCCUUCAAAUGGCUGCCCAUUGGGACCCUUGCAGCCAAUGUUCUUGCUGCAGGCAUCAUGGCAGCGCUUGCUGUAACAUCCAAAGCGGUACAUACAAAUCGAUCGACAACUAUUCUUAGUGGCAUACAGCUUGGCUUCCUUGGUUGCUUGAGCACAGUGUCUACUUUUGCUGCUGAAGUUUACACCAUGAGAAGAAGUGGGCAGAUUACAAGGGCCUUUGUUUAUGCUGCAUCCACCUUCCUGCUCUCUUUUGUGCUGGGAACUCUGAUAUACUCUGUGCCAGUUUGGGAAAAGCAUUACGGAUGACUUUGGCAACUUCAGGAUCCAACAUAUUAGCAGCUGGCUCAAAUACGUAAUGAAACUUUUCAGAACAUAUAAGUUUGUGUGUCAAUGUACUUAGAAAGAAUCUCAAAACCUAAACGGAAGUACAAGGCACGGAGCCAAGAGCUCGAAGGCUCAUGGCUACGGGAGAGAAACUGGAUCAAAUAUGCAAUUUUGCUGCACAAAUGUGUGCACAAUAGACUCAAAACGACAAUACAUACCUGGCUAGGAAAAAGACUCCAGCUUUACCUGUAGAACUCAUGUAGAGUGGCCUGGUACAAUUUUUGACUUCGUGAAUGUGAAUCGAGCAUAUGCAUGUUCAAAAUGUCAUCUGGUAUUUGUGAACCAAAUUGUAUCCCUAACGUGUGGUAUCUGGUACAAUGUUUGAUGCAUCCAUUAGUGUGGGAUUAACUUCAAUUGUA
Molecule: RNA transcript, 2530 nt
Organism: Panicum virgatum (switchgrass)
Lineage: Eukaryota; Viridiplantae; Streptophyta; Magnoliopsida; Poales; Poaceae
Gene name: fluoride export protein 1-like
Exons: 7
Source: RefSeq, a predicted model, not a curated record